RNAcentral lists this ribosomal RNA (680 nucleotides) under Bacillus sp. R79. RNAcentral's name for it is "bacterial SSU rRNA". The stretch from base 1 to 469 matches the Rfam family "Bacterial small subunit ribosomal RNA", at positions 58 to 539 of the family's 1533-position model. Lineage: Bacteria; Bacillati; Bacillota; Bacilli; Caryophanales; Bacillaceae. The record is from RNAcentral.
CGAGUCGACGAAUCGAAAGCUUGCUUUCUGAUUCGUUACGGUGGACGCGGUGAGUAACACGUGGGCACUGCUGUAGACGGGGAUAACACGAGAAUCGGUGCUAAUACCGGAUAACACGAAUGUCGCAUGACGUUUCGUUGAAGACGGCGUACGUGUCGCUACAGGAUGGGCCGCGCGCAUUAGCUCAGUUGGUGAGUAACGGUCACCAAGGCGACGAUGCGUAGCCGACCUGAGAGGGUGAUCGGCCACACUGGGACUGAGACACGGCCCAGAAUCCUAACGGAGCAGCAGUAGGGAUCUUCCGCCAUGACGAAAGUCUGAAGGAGCAACGCCCGCUUGACGCAAGAAGGCCUUCGGUCGUAAGCCUCUGUUGUUAGGAGCACACGUAACCAGUAAUUGGGUUACCUGAGGGGACCUACAGAAAGCACCCGGUAAUAAUGCCGCACGCCGGGGAUACCUAGUGGCACGCUGCUCCGAUAAUGGGGUAAGCCCCCGGGGUCCUUAUGAUUGCUGGAAGCCACCGUCCCCACGGAGUCCCGCUACCCGCUUUCUCCACGCCACAAACGUCCAUUCCGGCGCCCUGACGCCUCACGGGUAUAAGCCCAUCUUUGUUGCUCUAAGCUGUACCGACCUCUCCGUUCGACUUCAAACCACAUCGCUCGUACUGAUGUACUAAUAAG